Molecule: ribosomal RNA, 257 nt
Filed under: uncultured prokaryote
Description: partial 16S ribosomal RNA
Rfam family: Bacterial small subunit ribosomal RNA
Source: RNAcentral
UACGGAGGAUCCGAGCGUUAUCCGGAAUUAUUGGGUUUAAAGGGUGCGUAGGCGGCCAUUUAAGUCAGCGGUGAAAUUUUGCAGCUUAACUGUAACAGUGCCGUUGAUACUGUUUGGCUAGGAUUUGGUUGUAGUGUGCGGAAUGUGUGGUGUAGCGGUGAAAUGCUUAGAUAUCACACAGAACACCGAUUGCGAAGGCAGCACACUAAGUCAUUAUUGACGCUGAGGCACGAAAGUGUGGGGAUCAAACAGGAUUA